Molecule: non-coding RNA, 50 nt
Filed under: unclassified sequences
Description: ssNA-helicase RNA
Rfam family: ssNA-helicase RNA
About the family: Firmicutes, Actinobacteria (1 example). Downstream gene
Source: Rfam by way of RNAcentral
UUUGCUAAGGUCAAGUAUUACCCUUAGCAAUACAUAAGUAGCAUGUAGCA